This 253-nucleotide ribosomal RNA is filed under the name uncultured Bellilinea sp. RNAcentral describes it as "partial 16S ribosomal RNA". It matches the Rfam family "Bacterial small subunit ribosomal RNA", at positions 524 to 776 of the family's 1533-position model. Lineage: Bacteria; Bacillati; Chloroflexota; Anaerolineae; Anaerolineales; Anaerolineaceae. The record is from RNAcentral.
AACGUAGGAGCCAAGCGUUAUCCGAAUUCACUGGGCGUAAAGCGCAUGUAGGCGGCGUGACAAGUUGGAUGUAAAAACUCCCGGCUCAACUGGGAGAGGCCGUUCAAUACUGUCAGGCUAGAGGGCGACAGAGGGAGGUGGAAUUCCGGGUGUAGUGGUGAAAUGCGUAGAUAUCCGGAGGAACACCAGAGGCGAAGGCGACCUCCUGGGUCGAACCUGACGCUCAGAUGCGAAAGCUAGGGGAGCGAACGGG